This 210-nucleotide ribosomal RNA is filed under the name uncultured bacterium. RNAcentral describes it as "partial 16S ribosomal RNA". It matches the Rfam family "Bacterial small subunit ribosomal RNA", at positions 524 to 734 of the family's 1533-position model. The record is from RNAcentral.
UACAGAGGGUGCAAGCGUUGUUCGGAAUUAUUGGGCGUAAAGCGCGUGUAGGCGGCUUGGCAAGUCGGGUGUGAAAGCCCUCAGCUCAACUGAGGAAGUGCGCCCGAAACUGCUUUGCUUGAGUGCUGGAGAGGGUCGCGGAAUUCCCCAAGUAGAGGUGAAAUCGUAGAUAUGGGGAGGAACACCGGUGGCGAAGGCGGCGACCUGGAC